This 3997-nucleotide long non-coding RNA is filed under the name Homo sapiens (human). Its description in RNAcentral is "HSALNT0337598". Lineage: Eukaryota; Metazoa; Chordata; Mammalia; Primates; Hominidae. The record is from RNAcentral.
CCCGCCCACCCGGCCCGGCUUCUGCCGACAGCUGGGCGGGGACGCGCACGCAGUCCCGGCGGGGACGCGCACGCCGCCCUCUGACCCCGCAGCGUCGUGGCUAGAGUAGGGUCUGGAGAGAGCUCCCACUGUGGCGAGUCCUGUCGUUGGAUUCCCGCGGCGCCCCGUAAGGCUCCGCCCCGGCGGUGCUACCAAACCCUGUUCGAUUUUAGAAUCGUACAUUCCCAGAGGGAAUCCUAGACCCCUCAUUUUACAGUUGAGGAAACAGGCCCAAGUAGCAUGACUUGUUCGCGCCGCUAGUCGAAGGAGCAGCAGCCCCGAUCCCUUGACUCUGGGGCACUGCUUUCCCUUUAGCUCAUUUUUGGAGGAAAUGGGUGCGCCCUUGCUCGACCUUUGGUGAUUGCCGCCACAGGCCUUCCCGCCGGCUAACUCAGCGUGCCCAAGUCCCGUGACUUAGUGCCAGGACGGUGCUGUGACCCGUUAUCCCCUGUCGGGUUUUACCUCCCCCCGGGAGAGCUCAGCCCUGGAUCCCGGCGGGCGGCGGAGCCUCUCUGGAGCCCGGACGGGACAGCCCACCAGGGUCUGCUUCUGUGAGGGGCCGAGGCGUCAUUCCGCGAAGGAAAAGAAGCAUAAGCUGCAAUAAAAAUUUGGUUUCAAGAUAACAAAGUCAGUCCCCAAAAAUCAGUAUUGAGAGUCACUGACAUUAAAUGAUGAAGAUACGAGGAUGGUGUGGGGACCUUUACUCUUCGAAGAUGAGCUAUACAUGCCCCUGAAAAGGCUGUCUGAAGACAGGGGAAGGCUGGAGAUGGCAACUUUGGCCUCUGCCAAGUACUCGUGCUAUUUUCUGUAUGUGAUACUAUCUGUUUUGUAACUCAGAGGCAACACCACAUACCUAGCAUAAGGCUUGAACUCCCUUUGGGGUUAUCAAUUACUUACAUAGCCUUCCUCUAAGGGAAGGCUUGCAAGUGGUUCAUAUUCGACCCUUCCAUGUGAUAAGCAUUCAUGUGGGCUUCACAAUGUAACAGAGGUACACAGAGAUUCUUGUAAACAGAAAAUUUUAUAAAACUGUUAACUGAUCUCACUUUGAAGAAGUCUUACUGACUAGAUGUCAUUUAUCAGAGUAGACAGGCUUAAAAUGCAUUGCUUGUACUAGACUGUUGUAAUGCAUUUUUUUGUUUUUGCAUUGGUUUUUAAUUCAUUUAAUUGGUUUACACUCAUUUUUUUUUUUACAUUCCAUUUUUGCAUUUGUAUGCCAGUUAAAAAUUAUGAAAUGGCACAUUGUGGGAUUUUGUUUAGCUAAAUUCUAGAAAAAUUGAAAGAUACCUUUUAUUCGACUUAAGCCUGAGGUUAUUCAGCACGGUGAUCUCUGCAUUUUUGAAAGGUUGUCUCGUCGUUUAAUAAACGUAAAUAACUUAAGCACAUUGGAAGAGCUAUUAAAUGAGAGCAGGAGAUUAAAAAGACAUGAUUUCUUACUUUAUCCACCUGACAGGAUAGCUUGCAUUGGUGAUUAACCUUGCAUUGUUAAAUUCAUUUCCUAAAUAUUUAGGUAAGUAGUUGGUUUGAUCAUUAUUUGUAAAGUAUUAGUAGUUGCAUGUUGAAUUAUCAUGUUAAGAUUUUUAGUUUGUUGUUCAUGUGAUAUGAAAGAUAACAAUUCCUAAAACUGAAUGCAUGCAUGGCUUAUUCAGCUCAGGUCACAUACAAAGAGAAAUGUGACGCUGCAAUAAACAUAGCAGAGCUAUCUGGGUUUGAAGCAAAAAGGCUAUGACGUUAGGUAUAUGCACUUUACAUUGUAUGUAUCUUUUUAGUUCUAGUGAACUCAUCUGGAAUCAUGUUACAGAAAAUGAUUCUCCAGGUCCAAACACAUUUAAGUUUAAUGACUGGGACUACUCUAACAAUUGCGGCUAUCUCAUUUUGUCUCAUUGGUUCAUUAGCAUAGCACCCAUUUAAGAACAACUACUUCUAAACACAGUAAUAUUUCAGAGGCUAUAAAAUAAUAGAGAAAGAAAACUUAAAAAAUCCUUUGUUUGCAGCCAAGAAAAUGUGAGGAUCAGAUUUGUACUUGUUUUGAACAAUUGGAAACUGUCACAAUUGUUUUUAAGAUGUAAUAAAUGUAUAUAAAAUAUGGGAUUCUAUAGUAUUAGCCAUUUUGAUAUCUUUUGUUGAAAGAAAAAACCAAAAAACCCCAUAUGUUCUAAGUCUCAGAAAUCAAAGAAUUCCACAAUUUUCAUUUCCACUAAAAUAUUUAUUUAAUGGAUAUCUUACAGAAAUAAAUAAAAACAGUUUUUGUCUAAUACAGAUAGGUUUUUUUAUAUAUAUGUAAUUUGAUUUUACAAAAUUGAAGCAUAUCAAAUUGUUUUCUCUAAAACAUAGCUCAGAAAGGAAUAGUAGAAAACAAACACAAAGAAAUACUGAAAUAGUCUCAUUUUUAAAUUAUAAGCAUGGGCCUUCUGAAUCUCAGCAUGACAUGUUAUUAGUAAAAGAAUGUAAGAUAUGGAGUCAGGGGACCUGGGCUCCACUGUUUACUUGCUACAUGUCCUAAGAAAGUUUCAAUAUAUCUGAACUUCAGUUCUCUACCUUUAAAACAGUAAAGAUAUUAAUUAUAUCAACUUCACAAGAUUGUUGGGUAAAUUAAACACGUAAAUGUACAUGAAAGCUCUUUUUAAUAUGUGAAGAGCUAUAAAAAUAACAGUUUGAUUUAAUUUCAUAUAAAAGAAUCAAUGGAUACCUCCUUUUAACUGAAGAAUAAGCACCAAAAGCAUGUGUGUGUUUUCUUCAGUUGAAUUACAUCACUCUAUAAACCUAGAGUAAGAAAAUGCACCUUAACUAAGCACCAAAGCCUCUCGGACAAAUGGGAUCUAGGGAAUGGUUCUAUGAGUUUUCCAGGCAGCUAACUGGGAGCUAAUAAGUCCUGAGGGUCAAAGAGGGUCCUUUAAAACUCUGAAGGCUCAAAGAAAAGGAAGCCAAAUAAGAACAUUUGUAUUACAUCAAAUGGCUAGGAUGUAACAAGCUACUCCUUAUUCAGCAAUUUCAAAGUCCAUUAAUUCCUCACAGAAGAAGAAACACUUCGUUAUUAUCACUUGCAACGAUUUGCUUAUGUGAACAUGGCAUUCUCUUGUUCAAAAGGUCAAAGACUCGUGCUUAAGGGAGGAACAACUGGAGUGAAAUAACAACUCUACCAUGAAUUCAGAUAUCACUGGCUAAAAAGUCUAGUUACACAAGAACAUGGGAAAGAAAAAGAAUCCAAGACAUCAGUAUAAUAAUGAUUAAAAAAAAAACCCUGCCAUAUUUCCAUGUUAUAAUAAAACAAAAUCAUAAAAACUGCAAUAUUUACAGAUACAUCAAUCUUACAACAUAUAAAAACUUUAACAAUAAGAAAAAUUAAGAGUAGGGAAAGCAGAUAAUUUUAAGGUAAUCAUUAAUACAUUAAAAAAUCUAUUUGGAGUUAACUGUUUACACUAACACCACUUUACACAUAAUAGAAAUAUGAAUAUUUUCAUUGUUUUUGUUUUCAGUAGCAAGAUGCAGAAGAAACAAAUAACUGUCUAACAUUAACUUAUUGUAAGGAGUUGUAUUACUGCAAAAUUACUAGGUGUAAAGUUAUGGUAUAAGCCUACUCAAAAAAUGGGUUAAUAUAAUUCACCAUCUACUUAAAAUAUUACUAACAAGAUAUUGGUGAAUCAUGUGCUAAAGAUACUGAAGGCCCUUCCAAAACUGAGAUCUAUGUUUGUUCAAUAUACCAGGUCAUAUAAAACUAGACUAGUUUACUUUCUUAUUCCAACUGUUUUAUGAGUGAUCUUAUCAUAAGAAAAGUACACAUUACCUCUCUUAAUUCCCUUGCAUCAUCAGAUAUAGAUACUAUUUGGGACAAAAAAUAAAUGUUUUAUUAGGAGUGUAAAAUUAAGAAUCUUUAUAGAUCUUUUGGAAACAGUAUAUUGAAAAGGACUCAAUAAGUACUAAGCCACUGUAUAACCAGAACAAUAAACAAAUUCAUUCAACU